RNAcentral lists this ribosomal RNA (253 nucleotides) under uncultured bacterium. RNAcentral's name for it is "partial 16S ribosomal RNA". It matches the Rfam family "Bacterial small subunit ribosomal RNA", at positions 524 to 776 of the family's 1533-position model. The record is from RNAcentral.
UACGGAGGUGACAAGCGUUGUCCGGAUUUACUGGGCGUAAAGAGCGCGCAGGCGGUCGUUCAAGUCGAGUGUGAAAGCCCCCGGCUCAACUGGGGAGGGUCAUUCGAUACUGAUCGACUCGAAGGCAGGAGAGGGUAGUGGAAUUCCCGGUGUAGUGGUGAAAUGCGUAGAUAUCGGGAGGAACACCAGUGGCGAAGGCGACUACCUGGCCUGUUCUUGACGCUGAGGCGCGAAAGCUAGGGGAGCAAACGGG